UUUUUGAAAAUAAUUUAAAGUCUAAUCUGCCCACUGAUGAAAAUUAAAGGGCUGCAGUAUAUUGACUGUACAAAGGUAGCAUAAUCAUUAGUCUUUUAAUUGAAGACUUGUAUGAAAGAUUUAAUGAAAUAUAAACUGUCUCUUAUUUAAAAAUAGAAUUUAAUUUUUUAGUUAAAAAGCUAAAAUAAAUUUAAAAGACGAGAAGACCCUAUAGAGUUUUAUAAUUAAAUUAUUUAAGAUUUUUUAUAUAAUUUAUAGUUAAAAAUAAUUUAAUUAUUAUAUUGGGGUGAUAAAAAAAUUAAAAUAACUUUUUUUUUAUAAUAACAUAAAUAAGUGAAAAGUUGAUCCAUUAAUAAUGAUUAAAAGAAAAAAUUACCUUAGGGAUAACAGCGUAAUUUUUUUUUUUAGUACAAAUAAAAAAAAGAGAUUGCGACCUCGAUGUUGGAUUAAGAUAAAAUUUAGAUGCAAAAGUUUAAAAUUUUGAUCUGUUCGAUCAUUAAAAUCUUACAUGAUCUGA
This 517-nucleotide ribosomal RNA is filed under the name Euploea core. Its description in RNAcentral is "partial 16S ribosomal RNA". The stretch from base 383 to 517 matches the Rfam family "Archaeal large subunit ribosomal RNA", at positions 2542 to 2677 of the family's 2987-position model. The record is from RNAcentral. Lineage: Eukaryota; Metazoa; Arthropoda; Insecta; Lepidoptera; Nymphalidae.